RNAcentral lists this long non-coding RNA (1459 nucleotides) under Nicotiana tabacum (common tobacco). Its description in RNAcentral is "long non-coding RNA (NTAB_LNC007125)". Lineage: Eukaryota; Viridiplantae; Streptophyta; Magnoliopsida; Solanales; Solanaceae. The record is from RNAcentral.
AAUUUCCAAUUUUGCCUUUACUUGCAUUUAGGAUCUUUAGCUUCAGUUGAUUGAUUUGGUUUUAAAGACCAAAAACGUCAGGCAGAAGUCAUUCUUGUCAACACUCUUAGCCAAAAAAAAUCUCAAUUGAAAUUUCAAAAGCAACAAUAAUUUACAUUUGUAUUAUGUAUUGAACCAAGAACGUGAAAACAAACAAUAGCAAGAACAUUUUCUUGCUUGGUUCAUACACUCUAAAGCCAAUAGCAGAAGCUUAGUUCCGUCCAAAUUUUGCGAUUCUAAAAGAGUACGGUGCAAUCCUCGCCAAGAAUAUUAUACGGAUUUUUCCCUACUCCAGGUAUGUUAAGGCCCUCCCUUUUUUCUUUUGGCAUUGUUCAAAUUAUACUGAAGAAACGAGCAAAUACACAGUUUCUAUAGAUUACUCUAUUCAUAGAAAUAAUAGGGGUGUUUAUAUUUGUGAUUCCCGAUGAGAAUUAUUAUUAUCUUCUGUUCAUGGGUAUCAGAAUAAUACACGGUUGGAAAAUUUUAUCCGGAAGGAAUAUCGAGAUUAUUAUGUAGUUUUCAUGCAUUUCACUCAUUUAUACAUGUGCAUUGACCCAUGACCAGAUGGCGUUAUAUACGCGUAUAUAUGUAAAUAUAUAUAUUUGGGAUAUGGGAAAAGGUUACGGCAUUAUAUACGCAUCACCACCUGAUCAGCUGGUAUAUGAUGAUGAUGUUGCCCACAGUGGCUAAAAUAUGAUUCAAAUGGCGUUAUAUACGCAUAUAUAUAUGUAUGUACUCAAACGGCGUUAUAUACGCGUAUAUAUGUAAAUAUAUGUAUAUGGGAUAUGGGAAAGGUUAUGGCGUUAUAUAUGCACCACCACCUGAUCAGCUGGUAUACGAUGAUGAUUUUGCCCACAGUGGCCGGUAUGAUAUAAUGGAAUGCCCUCAGAGGCUGAUGAUGUUAUGAAACAUGUACCUAUAGAUGACAUGACAUUCAUACGCACAUGCAUGAUGAUAAAAGUAAUUUAUGAUCUACAAAGUUGUUCAUACUUACAGGUUGAGUCAUGUACUCUAUAUGUCUUCCAUAUCUCUUAUGUAUUUAUUUAUGUGCCUUACAUACUCGGUACAUUAUUCGUACUGACAUCCCUUUUGCCUGGGGACGCUGCGUUUCAUGCACGCAGGUCCAGAUAGACAGGUCGAGAGCCCUCCAAGUAGGCUAUUAGCUCAACGGAAGAUGUUGGUGCGCUCCAUUUGCUUCAGAGUUGCUCGUUUGGUUAGUAUGAUUUAGACGUGUAUUGUUUGGUAUGGCGGGACACUUUCCCGACCUUUAUGACAUUUAUGUAUUCUUAGAGGCUUGUAGACAUAUGUCUUGUACGUGAAAGAUUGUACGGCCUUUUCGGCCUAUGUUUUGAGUUUAUAAAUGAUUAUGUUGGCCUAUUAGGCCCGUAUGUCACGUGUAUAUGAUGAUGUAAUAAGAAAG